RNAcentral lists this ribosomal RNA (500 nucleotides) under uncultured bacterium. Its description in RNAcentral is "partial 16S ribosomal RNA". It matches the Rfam family "Bacterial small subunit ribosomal RNA", at positions 29 to 523 of the family's 1533-position model. The record is from RNAcentral.
AUUGAACGCUGGCGGCAUGCCUUACACAUGCAAGUCGAACGGCAGCACGGGAGCAAUCCUGGUGGCGAGUGGCGAACGGGUGAGUAAAGUAUCGGAACGUGCCCAGUCGUGGGGGAUAACGUAGCGAAAGUUACGCUAAUACCGCAUACGAUCUAUGGAUGAAAGCGGGGGAUCGCAAGACCUCGCGCCAGUGGAGCGGCCGAGAUCAGAUUAGGUAGGUGGUGGGGUAAAGGCUCACCAAGCCGACGAUCUGUAGCUGGUCUGAGAGGACGACCAGCCACACUGGGACUGAGACACGGCCCAGACUCCUACGGGAGGCAGCAGUGGGGAAUUUUGGACAAUGGGCGAAAGCCUGAUCCAGCCAUGCCGCGUGCAGGAUGAAGGCCUUCGGGUUGUAAACUGCUUUUGUACGGAACGAAAAGGUUUGGCCUAAUAAGCUGAGCUCAUGACGGUACCGUAAGAAUAAGCACCGGCUAACUACGUGCCAGCAGCCGCCGUAA